Molecule: ribosomal RNA, 468 nt
Filed under: uncultured bacterium
Lineage: Bacteria
Description: partial 16S ribosomal RNA
Rfam family: Bacterial small subunit ribosomal RNA
Source: RNAcentral
GACGAACGCUGGCGGCGUGCUUAACACAUGCAAGUCGAACGGAAAGGCCCUGCUUUUGUGGGGUGCUCGAGUGGCGAACGGGUGGGUAACACGUGAGUAACCUGCCCUUGACUUUGGGAUAACUUCAGGAAACUGGGGCUAAUACCGGAUAGGAGCUCCUGCUGCAUGGUGGGGGUUGGAAAGUUUCGGCGGUUGGGGAUGGACUCGCGGCUUAUCAGCUUGUUGGUGGGGUAGUGGCUUACCAAGGCUUUGACGGGUAGCCGGCCUGAGAGGGUGACCGGCCACAUUGGGACUGAGAUACGGCCCAGACUCCUACGGGAGGCAGCAGUGGGGAAUAUUGCACAAUGGGCGGAAGCCUGAUGCAGCAACGCCGCGUGCGGGAUGACGGCCUUCGGGUUGUAAACCGCUUUCGCCUGUGACGAGGCGUGAGUGACGGUAAUGGGUAAAGAAGCACCGGCUAACUACGUG